RNAcentral lists this ribosomal RNA (493 nucleotides) under uncultured bacterium. RNAcentral's name for it is "partial 16S ribosomal RNA". It matches the Rfam family "Bacterial small subunit ribosomal RNA", at positions 28 to 507 of the family's 1533-position model. The record is from RNAcentral.
GACGAACGCUGGCGGCGUGCCUAACACAUGCAAGUUGAGCGACGAACCAGGGCUUGCCCUGGGGCAAAGCAGCGAACGGGUGAGUAACACGUGGGUAGCCUACCCCGAUAACCGGGACAACCCGAGGAAACUCGGGCUAAUACCGGAUGUGCUCACUGGACUUCGGUUCAGUGCGUAAAGGAAGCUUCGGCCUCCGUAUCGGGAGGGGCCCGCGGCCCAUUAGUUUGUUGGUGAGGUAACGGCUCACCAAGACCGCGAUGGGUAGCUGGUCUGAGAGGACGAUCAGCCACACUGGGACUGAGACACGGCCCAGACUCCUACGGGAGGCAGCAGUGGGGAAUCUUGCGCAAUGCGCGAAAGCGUGACGCAGCAACGCCGCGUGGGGGAAGAAGGCCUUCGGGUUGUAAACCCCUUUCAGGAGGGACGAAGGUUCGGCGGUGAAUAGCCGUCCGGACUGACGGUACCUCCACAAGAAGCCCCGGCUAACUACGUG